CGGUACGUACUGGUAUUGUUGGUUUCUCCCUUCUGACGAACCAUGAUGUCAUUUAUUUGGUGUUGUGGGGAAUCAGGACUGUUACUUUGAAAAAAUUAGAGUGUUUAAAGCAGGCUCACGCUUGAAUACAUUAGCAUGGAAUAAUGAAAUAGGACGUUUGAUUCUAUUUUGUUGGUUUCUAGGAUCGACGUAAUGAUUAAUAGGGAUAGUUGGGGGCAUUAGUGUUCAAUUGUCAGAGGUGAAAUUCUGGGAUUUAUUGAAGACUAACUACUGCGAAAGCAUUUGCCAAGGAUGUUUUCAUUAAUCAAGAACGAAAGUUAGGGGAUCGAAGGCGAUCAGAUACCGUCGUAGUCUUAACCAUAAACUAUGCCGACUAGGGAUCGGACGCAGUUAAUUUUAUAAUGACGUGUUCGGCGCCUUACG
Molecule: ribosomal RNA, 423 nt
Filed under: uncultured Glomeromycotina
Lineage: Eukaryota; Fungi; Glomeromycota
Description: SSU rRNA
Rfam family: Eukaryotic small subunit ribosomal RNA
Source: RNAcentral